UGGGGGAUAUUGCACAAUGGACGAAAGUCUGAUGCAGCGACGUCGUGUGGGGGAUGAAGGCCUUCGGGUUGUAAACUCCUUUCGCCCGCGGAAAAGGCAGGGUUUUGGCCUUGUUGAUGGUAGUGGGUAAAGAAGCGCCGGCUAACUACGUGCCAGCAGCCGCGGUAAUACGUAGGGCGCGAGCGUUGUCCGGAAUUAUUGGGCGUAAAGGGCUCGUAGGCGGUUUGUCGCGUCUAGCGUUUAAGGCUCGGGCUUAACCCGGGGUGGCGUUGGGUACGGGCAGGCUUGAGUGCGGUAGGGGUAACUGGAAUUCCUGGUGUAGCGGUGGAAUGCGCAGAUAUCAGGAGGAACACCGGUGGCGAAGGCGGGUUACUGGGCCGUUACUGACGCUGAGGAGCGAGAGCGUGGGGAGCGAACAGG
This 420-nucleotide ribosomal RNA is filed under the name bacterium. Its description in RNAcentral is "partial 16S ribosomal RNA". It matches the Rfam family "Bacterial small subunit ribosomal RNA", at positions 355 to 776 of the family's 1533-position model. The record is from RNAcentral.